UAUCCACACAGACUAAGCAAAUGCAUAUACUAUAUUCCUGGCAUGAGUAGCAGGGCGCUGAAAUGUUGCGCGAUUUUUAACAGAAUGUUCAAAAAAGUAGAGGGUCGACUGAAGAGGUUAAAUGAGACAUCUAGAGCAUUGGAAAGGAAGCUACCUGGAUACUGUAACUAUAAACACAGAGACAGAGAGAAGGGACACGACACAAACAAUGGUAGUCAACGGCAACGGCAGGCUUGUAGGACAUGAAUUACCUGUCCUGAUAAAUAACACCAUGUGAUGUUGACAUCACCUGCAGGGUAAAAGUGCCAAGGAGAAGGUGGUGACCAGGAUCGUCGUGUCUCGCUGUGAGGUGGACCUCAUGAAGAUCAGGACAGAGUUUAAGAAACUGAACCAGAAGUCCUUGUACCAGACCAUCGCUGAGCACACUAAAGGAGACUAUCAGAAGGUCCUGCUGAGUCUGUGUGGAGGAGACGACUAAAGUCCAACUGGCACCAACUGAAGUCCAACUGGCACCAACUGUCACCUUGUCCCAAAACCAAUGCCUUGUUCCUAUUUUGAUUCAGUAUAGUGAAACAGACAUUGAGAACUGGUGCCUUUAUCCACAACACCCAGUAGCAUUAGAGUCAUCAUUACUCAGAUUGCAUCACCUUUCUGUGAAGUAUGAGAUAUCCAACGGAAGAAUUGAUAGUAAAUGUUUUUUUAUGCAACGUUUUUUAUGAAAUUAAAUAUUUUUUUGUUAAA
This is a long non-coding RNA of Oncorhynchus nerka (sockeye salmon), 741 nucleotides long. RefSeq lists it as uncharacterized. The transcript is spliced from 2 exons. The record is from RefSeq and is a predicted model, not a curated record. NCBI's taxonomy places the organism in Eukaryota, Metazoa, Chordata, Actinopteri, Salmoniformes, Salmonidae.